UUCCAUUACGACUGGGACACGAGUUCCAGCAGCAUGAAUGACCCCAUGGUGGACUCGGGAAAAGCCAGUGAUAUCUCAGUGUCCAGUUGGCCCAUGGAGCCCAUCCAGUGGACACCUUUUCCCCUCCUCCACCAGCUUUCAAAGCAGCGACCGCACAAAGCCCGACGGCCUCACUCCUACUGCGAGGGGAUGGAGCUGGUCAACCUCGAGAGGAGCUGGACGGCCUGAAGGCCAGGCAGAGCAACACACGGGCACCGAGGUUCAGCUUUUAAAACCAACCACAUUUUAUUUCCACGUAACAAGCUCAGUGAAGGAAUUUCAAACACUUUGACAAUACAAUCAACGCAGGUGUGAUGUCAGUUCCACUCGAGGCAGAGUCCUGAAAGAGUUUCUGCCAACGUUUUUCACCACUGCUUCGGACCAGACUUCAGAAGCCAGCUUUGGCUUGGGACAGCGUAUUUCAUAGUAAGUAGUUACAGAUAAGUGUCUAGUAACACACAAUGCUGGCAUCCAACAGAGUUAAUGACUUACAUCCGGCAAUUUGAAAAUAAAGUCUAACAGAUUUGUUGAAGUCACAUCAUACUAUGUACAUAUAUGGUCUGCCCUAUAGCCAUUUCAGAACAAGCUAAGCCACUGUGAAAAGUGAAAAUACAAAUUAAGCGCUGCUGCAUUGUUCAUCAUGAUUAAUGUAAAUGAGGUAUAAAUUUAAACACCAGUACGUUUUAAGCAUUAAAGUUUAUUUUCCAAAAUGCU
This is a long non-coding RNA of Calidris pugnax (ruff), 753 nucleotides long. RefSeq lists it as uncharacterized. The transcript is spliced from 2 exons. Lineage: Eukaryota; Metazoa; Chordata; Aves; Charadriiformes; Scolopacidae. The record is from RefSeq and is a predicted model, not a curated record.